ACGCGUCUCAGACUACAACUUAUUUUCUUUCAAAAAGACAAUUCCAAGUGCAAUGCAGGGCAGAGGGCUUCAUAGUGCAGAUCAUGAGGAGGGUUCAACCGUAUGCAAGUGAGGCAACAUUCACUACUCACUGCAUCAAGAAAAUAAAGCCAAGAAAAGCAACAGCAGCCAUCCUACAAGCUACCAUUGCGAGAAACUGGUUUCUCCUAAAUGACAGGAGUGUGAGAUAAUCAAGAGCAUUAGCGGGAAACACCCGACCGAAACUGCAGCUACAGAAACUGACAUUUACAGAAAGCAUUAAUGGUGCAGUAUGUGGGGAAACACAUGAAACUGUAAUGAUGCCUGACUUGCUCUGUAGUGUACAGGGAAGUCUGGUGAAUGUUACACUUGUUUGGCAGACAGGAAGUGACUGCAUCAUUAACACUAUCCAGAAGUGAGUGCUGAUAAACCCUGGCACGGCAACAAAAAGAAUAGCCAGGCAGAGUGACACGAGAACUUGUGGAAAACAUCUGCAGUUCACGGAAGAAACCCACAUGACAGAACAAAACAGAAUCAGUUCAAAUAAACCUUGUCCUGUGCAGGCUAUAAACAGAA
Mauremys reevesii (Reeves's turtle) is the source of this 594-nucleotide long non-coding RNA. RefSeq lists it as uncharacterized. The record is from RefSeq and is a predicted model, not a curated record. The transcript is spliced from 3 exons. Lineage: Eukaryota; Metazoa; Chordata; Testudines; Geoemydidae.